UCGUAACAAGGUUUCCGUAGGUGAACCUGCGGAAGGAUCAUUAGUGAAUUGAGCUGGCUUCGGCCGCUCUGAUCUAUACACACCUGUGAACUGUUGGCCUUCGGGUCUUUAAAUACAACUGUGACGAACGUAAAUUAUUAUAACAAAUAAAACUUUUAACAACGGAUCUCUUGGCUCUCGCAUCGAUGAAGAACGCAGCGAAAUGCGAUAAGUAAUGUGAAUUGCAGAAUUCAGUGAAUCAUCGAAUCUUUGAACGCACCUUGCGCCCGUUGGUAUUCCGACGGGCAUGCCUGUUUGAGUGUCGUGAACAACCUCAACCUUGAUUGGUUUUACCAUCAAGGUUUGGACUUGGGUGUUGCUGCUGCAAAGUGGCUCGCCUUAAAACUAUUAGCUGGACUUGUCUAUGACUUGGUUCGACUCGAUGUAAUAAGUAUUCAUCGGGGACAAGGUAACACCUGGCCAAGGCUUGAUGCCGUCUGCUUCUAAUCAUGUUCUCACUAUGAGACGCUACUUUACUGUGUGGCCUCAAAUCAGGUAGGAUUACCCGCUGAACUUAAGCAUAUCAAUAA
RNAcentral lists this unclassified non-coding RNA (569 nucleotides) under Holtermanniella takashimae. Its description in RNAcentral is "sequence contains 18S rRNA gene, ITS1, 5.8S rRNA gene, ITS2, 28S rRNA gene". The stretch from base 151 to 304 matches the Rfam family "5.8S ribosomal RNA". The record is from RNAcentral. Lineage: Eukaryota; Fungi; Basidiomycota; Tremellomycetes; Holtermanniales.